Molecule: long non-coding RNA, 4868 nt
Filed under: Sus scrofa (pig)
Lineage: Eukaryota; Metazoa; Chordata; Mammalia; Artiodactyla; Suidae
Description: lncRNA (ENSSSCG00000055856.1)
Source: RNAcentral
AAACUUGUUUGAAUAAUUUUUAAGUGAUUCCAGACAAUACAUAUUUACUGACGUAUAGAACAUGGAAAGUUUUAGCUUAAAAUUAUGAACUUGCAAAAAAUGUGUAAAGGACUAAAUAUAAGGGGGAGUUAUGGAAAAUAUUCAGUCACCUCAAUUAUAGGUUUAAAUACCUUAAAUGCUAUAAUAAUACUUUGACUUUACUUUUUUUUAUUUAUAAGCAACCAAACCACUUUAUAAACAUUAAACCAAGUAUCUUUUUAAAGUAAGACUUCUUUUUUUUCUCUGUGGGUAUCAUUUAUUGAUUGAUAAAAACAGCAAAAAAGUAAACAUUUUCCUGGAGGCAGGAAAGGUACCCUCCAUGCUAGAGCAGUUCUGAAAACGGUAACCACAAUUCCUCCCAAUUUUUUGCAUUUUCCUCUUUAUAAUUGUUAAUUGUAAUAAAACAUACUGAAAUGUUUUCCUUAAAUGAUAGCCCUGGUCUGCUGUUACGUUUUUAUUAAUAUUUUUACUUUAUUUCAUUUAUUAUCAUGAACAUGAAACAAUUUGGGGAUCUCUUUUUCCACCAUUCAGUGUUAUUUUCAGUAACAGAUUCUUUUCUGUUAUUUGACAGUAUUCUGGAAGCCACCUACUCGUUCAUGUUUGAUGUGGUCAGAAUUCUGUGGUGAACUAAAGACCAUCAUUACUGUUUGUUUGGUGUUUACAUUUUGUUUAGCAGGGAUUUCAUAUUAGUGGCUACUCUGGGAGACGUAGCUCAGAUAAUUGUGGCAGAAAAACAGCAGAGGGAAGGUUGAAUGAUGCAGCCCUAGAUUGGAAUUCUCAAUCCUGCCUUCAAGUGAACAAACAUAAUUUCAUUACAUUCAUCUCUCUCUCCAUACUAUCUCUUAAGUACAGAGCUUUUGGUUUUCAUGGUAGACGCCCCCCCAAAUGUUCGCAUUUAAUCUUUAUGGAUUUUACUUUUAUUGAUUUUGCCUGUCCUGAGAAUAGUUUCCCUGAAGACUUAGUUAUUCUCAGAUUCCACUUGUUUGCAGCUCCCAUUUGUUUAUUUAUUGUAAAAAAUAUUUGAUGUAGACAAACGUGCUGUGGCUGUGUCCUGAGAUCCUUAAAGAGUUCUCCCAUUAGAGAGUUAUCUGUUCUGUUUGUGACAUGAUAGCUCAGCAGGACUCAGUAGGCCAUUAGGAAAAUAAGCAAAUUCUUAUCUGGAAGUCAUUAACUAGAAUCACUCAUUCUCUUUUGCACUCUUGCCUGGAAGUUGGUUCUUUUCACAUCCUGGAAAAAUAUUUUGAUAGAGAAUUAAGUGCUGGUGAAAGGUGAGUAUGUGGCAGAGGGACUGGAAUGGGGAGGGGACUAAAACUACAUUUUGUCUAUAUGAGCACUGAGGGGCAUUAGCAAAGACAAGGUCAGUGACCAGCUGCUGACAUUGUCAUAGUUCACUGCUUAAGUUUUGACAUAGAAAUAACAGAUUCACAGCCAAUCCAUUCUACCUCACUGAAGGGGCUUCUAAUCCAUGUCAGUAAUAGACAGCGCUAGAGUACCUGAGCUUUAAUCUACAGUUCGCAAUGGUGAUCCAUGGAAAUCACCUAAAUCUGCAAGUUAAAACUAUUAGUCAUUACAAACCCAGGGGAUAUAUAAAUAAAAAACAUUAGCUAAAGAUUAUAUCCCAAGCUCCAAUAUCAAUCUCAAGGAAAUAUCUUGAUCCAGAAUCAUGAAGAGAUUCCCUAAACCAGAUUCCCCCACCGAUGUCCUUAGUGAGUAAAUGAGCAAAUCUAAGAGAAUCUGCUCAGCAGGAGGUAAAAUAUUCUUUUCUUUGGAAUAUCAUGUCAUUUUUUUGUCACAUAAAAGCAUUUGUCCAUGAGGAAAUUAAUCUCACUUAUAAUUAAACUGUGAUAUAAACAUCCAUUUCAUACCUAUACGUCCAAGUGUGUAGUUCUUUUGUUUCACUGUCACGUAGAAUAAACAUGAACUAAAACAAGGGUGUCUCUCAUUUUUAAGUCAUCACAUCACUCCUGGUAUUCGCUGACCAAGUUUAGAAACAGAGUUAACAUCAUAAUAUAAAUUGUUUAGUGAUUCAUUGGAUUACAAAGGCAUCAUGUUUUACAACCCAUAUUAUUUAAUUUAUGUCAAGGAGGACUGAUAGCAAGUCUGGGGCCACUUAGUCAACAGGCCCAGUGCUCCGUGGUGUUUUCCUGGAACAUUUAUGAUCUGUGAGCACACUGUUGUGUGAACUUCCACAAGCCCCCACAGAGACUCUGUCCCAGUGCCCAGAUUGUGCUGGGCUCCAGGGAGCAGAUACAGAGUCAGAGCCAGCAAUUUUGCUGGCUGAUAGUUCCCCCUACAUCUCCAAGAUAUGAAAAGACAAGUGAAGGGGACAGUUUUAGAGGACCUUUCACUCCCCUUCCUGACAGUGUCCUGGAACAUGCAUCAUCACUGACCUUAACUAUCCUCCAAGGGAAAAGGCCAGAGAAUGUGGGUUUACAGUAAUUUAUAUUCAGUCUUGUGGAUCAGGAAAAUCAAGAAUAAUGUAUCCUUCAGAUAAAAUCAAUAUGAUAGAAAUUAAAUUACAGAAAACUUAAUAAGAUUGUGCUUGUUACUUAUAAAUGCACUCAAAGUAUUAUUUCUCAAGCUAAUGCAUAUACCAUUAAACAGAAAAAUCAAAGGGGAAAAAUUGUUUUCACAGAUCAGAGAAAAGGACUGUGAAUCCAAGUUUGAGAGUCCUAAAGUUAAGAACAUAUCUUCGAGGUGCAAAUUAACUAUCUAGCUUUAUAUAUGAUAAAACAAAGUUUUGGUUUUGUUUUUAAAGAGUAAGAUUAAAAGAAAAGCAGAGAUGCUGUAGAUCUUGCAGAUCUCUAAAGCAAGGCUCUAGUCUAAAUAUCUGUAUAAAUAAUCUGCCAAUAUACUUGUGAAUAUAGAACUUAUUUAAUAAGGUUCUGAAAGAAUCCAUACAUUUUAUAAAAUUGCUUAAUCUAAAGUUGGUAGCGUCAUAGAGCUUGUGAGCGAAUAUGAUUUCAUUCUGCUGUCCUGAUUACUCAAAAUAUACAUAAUUCAUAACAGUAUGUUGAUGUAGUAAUGAUGACAUAGUCUAGUAUCAUUUUGACAGAGACCAGAAGGAACAAAUCACUAAAUUAUCAAUGCAGAGGAAAUCAUCACUGUGCCAUAGCCAAAUUGUGUUGGGGCAAAAUAUUUAAGACCUGAGGCCAGAUGAUGUGUUUUGUGGAAAGAUUGAUGACUAUGUAUACUGGGAGAAAAGUCAGCAAUUCUUUAGUUCAUAACAGUAUUAGGAAAUUUGUCAUCUGAUUUCCUGCCUAACUGGCUACUUAACUGCACCCAUGGGAUGGAAAUGAGGUAAGGGUGAAAUCCCCCAAACUGUGCUCUUUUAAAGAAACAAAUAUAGAGACCCUGAUUUCAACAUAACCAUUUCUAAAAUACUGAGAGGAAUAAGCUGUGGUAUAUUAUAUAGAGGUUUUUAUUUUCUCCAGCAAGUGCCAGGUUUUAAAGAUUCCCCAAGUUAAAAAGAAAAUCUAGAAUUUAGUUCCAAGAGGUAGUGAAGAGAAAAACAAAAGGUUAUUUAGCUACCCUCUCCCUCAUAAACCUGUGCAGACUAAAAUUUGGUGGUCAAACAAGCCAGAACUGAACAGUAUUAUGGCCAAUGCUAAAGACUGAAGGAAGAUCAGUUGGUUAGAUCCUGAUCAAGCUUCUGUUAAAAAUUAACUCUGUGUGGGAUAGGUCUGUUCCAUCACAUGAAGCCAAUUCUCUAAUUCUUGCCAGCUUUUUUAUAAGCACUGAGUGUGGAUCACAGAAAAGGACAGGUAUUUUUGUAUCACUGUAAAUCCAUCAACAUGUUUCUUUAAAUAUACGUCAAUUCUAUGUACACAGAAAGUGCACGCUUUAUUUGAGAACUGUUUGUUAUUAAUCAUAAUAGCUAUAUUUUACUGAGUGUGCCCUAUGGACCAGGUGCUAUGCUAAGAGCCUAUAUAUCCAUGUCAGUUAACCUUUACACUAACACCGGAAGUAGAUAUUAAGCCAAAGAUGUGAGAUACCCAGAAUAUCUUAGCUAGUAAGGGGGAGACAAAAGAUCUGAAAUCAUCUGUUUCUUAUUUUUCAUUCUAAACCACUUCAUUUUAUUGCUAUUCCAUUGUAUUCUGCUUCUAAAUAGUCAUUCAAGACUAGAUGAUAUAGUCCAAAAGAGUUUAUGAAUUCAUGGGGUAAUUUACAUUGUAGGUUUUCAAUCUAGAUGAUAAUUCAAACAUUUGGAAUUUCAAAUCCAGUAUACUUGGCCUGCCUUGGCUGCAUUAUUUCAAGAAAUCCAUUCCAGCAAAUAUGACUUUCCAUUUGUUUUGUGCUAUUGAUAGUCAUAUGAACAGAUUCCACAUGAAUAAGAACCUGUUGGAUAAAUUUUUAAAUAUUAUAUAUAAUUAUAUCUUAAACAUACACAUCUUGGCCUGUGUUAUUAAAAAAGGAAUGAAAUAGAAAGGGCAAACUCCUUUUUCUGCUUAAUCAGCAAUAGCCUAAGUAUCAGGAGGAUUAAGGUUCAGAGUAAGGCUGGAGAGGUAGGAGACACACACACUCACACACACAUACCCCCUCACUCACCAAAAUGGUAGGAAACAUUUUGGAAACCAAUGAUCCCAAUGUAUUCUUGGCUCCCACAACUAUGUCUAAUGUAUUAAAUUUAAGUUCUGGGCAUCACAUUUUAGGAGGACAAUUGCAAGUAUAUAAUAUCAGAGGGAAGUACUGAGGGGAUGGGGAUCUAAAAGUAAUACUAAUAUUGAAAUGCUCAAAAAUUCUGGAUGAGCAGAGUUCCUGUAGCUGUGGCAUAGGCUGGCAGCUGAAGCUCUGAAUCCACCCCAAGCCUGGGAACUUCCAUGUGCCGG